ACACACGGAUAACAUACCGAAAGGUAUGCUAAUACGGGAUAAUAUAUUUGAGAGGCAUCUCUUGAAUAUCAAAGGUGAGCCAGUACAGGAUGGACCCGCGUCUGAUUAGCUAGUUGGUAAGGUAAAGGCUUACCAAGGCGACGAUCAGUAGCCGACCUGAGAGGGUGAUCGGCCACAUUGGAACUGAGACACGGUCCAAACUCCUACGGGAGGCAGCAGUGGGGAAUAUUGCACAAUGGGCGAAAGCCUGAUGCAGCAACGCCGCGUGAGUGAUGAAGGCCUUCGGGUCGUAAAACUCUGUCCUCAAGGAAGAUAAUGACGGUACUUGAGGAGGAAGCCCCGGCUAACUACGUGCCAGCAGCCGCGGUAAUACGUAGGGGGCUAGCGUUAUCCGGAUUUACUGGGCGUAAAGGGUGCGUAGGCGGUCUUUCAAGUCAGGAGUGAAAGGCUACGGCUCAACCGUAGUAAGCUCUUGAAACUGGGAGACUUGAGUGCAGGAGAGGAGAGUGGAAUUCCUAGUGUAGCGGUGAAAUGCGUAGAUAUUAGGAGGAACACCAGUUGCGAAGGCGGCUCUCUGGACUGUAACUGACGCUGAGGCACGAAAGCGUGGGGAGCAACCAGGAUUAGAUACCCUGGUAGUCCACGCUGUAAACGAUGAAUACUAGGUGUCGGGGGUUACCCCCUUCGGUGCCGAAGCUA
Molecule: ribosomal RNA, 699 nt
Filed under: uncultured bacterium
Lineage: Bacteria
Description: bacterial SSU rRNA
Rfam family: Bacterial small subunit ribosomal RNA
Source: RNAcentral